AAACUUAUGAUGAAUAAAGCCAGGAACUCUUGCUUAUUUUCUGUCCUCCCUCUGCUCCUGUCACUAACUACUUCUGUAAACAUAACUUCCCAACUUCUACUCCAACUUUAAAGCAUCUGGUUCCUUAAAUAAACAGGCCCUGUAGAGAGGCCGUGUUGUAUGGGGUGUCAGCUCUGGGAAGAAUGCGUGUGUUUGUUUGCUGGCUCUGGCAGGGUUGAGUCCAAGCUGACAGGACUGAGUGUGCCUGUCAGAGGCUUCAGGGAGCUGCCGCUGAAGACCUCGGCCUGUUGUUGUGAAUCGCCAGACCUUUGUAACACCCGGAAGUCUGAAGCAUGUGUUUGAUGAUCUCAGAGGCUCAGUAUCCUUGUCCUGGGUUGGAGAUAGCACUGGGGUCAUUCUAGUCUUGACUACCUUCCAUGUACCACUGGUAAUUAUGACUUUUGGACAGUCCAAGCUAUAUCGAAGUGAGGAUUAUGGGAAGAACUUUAAGGAUAUUACAGAUCUCAUCAAUAACACCUUUAUUCGGACUGAAUUUGGCAUGGCUAUUGGUCCUGAGAACUCUGGAAAGGUGGUGUUAACAGCAGAGGUGUCUGGAGGAAGUCGUGGAGGAAGAAU
RNAcentral lists this long non-coding RNA (615 nucleotides) under Homo sapiens (human). RNAcentral describes it as "non-protein coding lnc-PSMA5-1:2". The record is from RNAcentral. Lineage: Eukaryota; Metazoa; Chordata; Mammalia; Primates; Hominidae.